Molecule: ribosomal RNA, 409 nt
Filed under: uncultured bacterium
Lineage: Bacteria
Description: bacterial SSU rRNA
Rfam family: Bacterial small subunit ribosomal RNA
Source: RNAcentral
ACUCCUACGGGAGGCAGCAGUGGGAAUAUUGCACAAUGGGCGCAAGCCUGAUGCAGCCAUGCCGCGUGAGUGAUGAAGGCCCUAGGGUUGUAAAACUCUUUCAUCGGUGAAGAUAAUGACGGUAGCCGAAGAAGAAGUCCCGGCUAACUCCGUGCCAGCAGCCGCGGUAAUACGGAGGGGCGUAGCGUUGUUCGGAAUUACUGGGCGUAAAGCGCGCGUAGGCGGACCGGAAAGUUGGGGGUGAAAUCCCGGGCGUCAACCCGCAGACGGCCUCCAAAACUAUCGGUCUGGAGUUCGAGAGAGGUGAGUGGAAUUCCGAGUGUAGAGGUGAAAUUCGUAGAUAUUCGGAGGAACACCAGUGGCGAAGGCGGCUCACUGGCUCGAUACUGACGCUGAGGUGCGAAAGCGU